Molecule: long non-coding RNA, 992 nt
Organism: Lolium rigidum
Lineage: Eukaryota; Viridiplantae; Streptophyta; Magnoliopsida; Poales; Poaceae
Exons: 4
Source: RefSeq, a predicted model, not a curated record
GGAUUUGGUUGUAGGUGAUGUGUCUUUUUACUUUCCUCCGUCGCACGGCAUUUUUGUUUUGGACAGGUGACCCUUUACCUUUUUAUGCAUCAGGAUACCGUUAUUGUUGUGCGGAACCUUUAUAUGUAUCUGUUUGAAAAAACUGCAGUGACUGACCAUCAUCUUUGUCCAUUUAUCUUGCUAUAUAAAUAUUUGUAAUUUUCACUGUUGUUUCAUAUUAUACAUAUGGGCUAACGGUGUUGGUUUCGUAGAGAAAUACAAUAUUUUCGUUGAAAUAAAAUCAUGUUAUGUGUUCCUUGACAUACUCUAUCAGGUAUGAUGCAGCCUGGAGACAAGACUUUGCAAGCUUCUGUACAUGCCAAUAGAGUUGGUAUAAAGGUGAAGAACUUCAAGGCCUUGUUGGUUUGCAAGGCGCUGGUUGUUGAUGCGAGCUUAUUUGGAGCCUCCAGAUUAUCCUGGGCAUCAUCAAAAGGAUGGCAGCAAUGGACUUUGUCAUGGAUCUGAGCAAAAAGAAGAGUCCUGGGGAGGUGAUUUGUAGGAAGGAGGCGACCAGUACUGGUCAAAACUGUUGUGUUUGGUAGAAUAGGUGCCAUUGAAUGUUACUCCCAGUUGCCUAUCAUGUAGGCAUUUUGAGGUAUUAUUUUGUGCUAUUGAUGAUAAUCCACUGUAUUAUAAUUAAUCUGUGUUGUAGAAGCUUUAGCUGAUCUGGUUUUGUAUCUUUCGAAAUAGAUUUGAAGAGGUUGCACAUGUUCUGUUUCAGGUACUCAUAGCAUCUACAGAGUGGGCCAAUAUUCGAAAAGAGCACAAGACUUGAGGAUUUGAGCAUGCUUGUAGGCUAGAAGCAUCACCUUCAGACUUCGUCACUUGUUGACAGUCUAAAAUUGACCCUGAACUGAUAUGGGCACUUGCUAAGCAAGAUGUCAAAGACAAGCACCAGCUGAAGAUGAAAUAGAAAAUACAGCCGGUAAAGGCACCAACGAAGGAAAACCUUC